UACGGGGGGGGCAAGCGUUGUUCGGAAUUACUGGGCGUAAAGGGCUCGUAGGCGGCCAACUAAGUCGGACGUGAAAUCCCCAGGCUCAACCUGGGAACUGCGUCCGAUACUGGAUGGCUUGAAUCCGGGAGAGGGAUGCAGAAUUCCAGGUGUAGCGGUGAAAUGCGUAGAUAUCCGGAGGAACACCAGUGGCGAAAGCGGCCACCUGGACUGUACCUGACGCUAACACGCGAAAGCUAGGGGAGCGAACGGG
RNAcentral lists this ribosomal RNA (253 nucleotides) under uncultured bacterium. Its description in RNAcentral is "partial 16S ribosomal RNA". It matches the Rfam family "Bacterial small subunit ribosomal RNA", at positions 524 to 776 of the family's 1533-position model. The record is from RNAcentral.